UCUUACCCAUUCCUUGACAAAAGCUUCUUCCAUGUCUACUCUCCUCCAAACUCUCUCCACUAGGCAACAAUGGAGGCUAAAAACACAGAUUUUUCUGAAGUGGUUCUCUACUAUUGUCGAUGAUGAACCGAUUGUGGUUGUCCAUUAACUGAAGCUCGGUAUGCCAUCUCCAUCCUUUUUCUGUUCUUAUCUCUCUCAAAUUCUCCGCACACUUUUUUUAUUUCACUGUUAUGUUUUUCUUAGCCGCCCUUCCUGUAAUAUUUUCUUUGCUCAUGUGGCUUCAUUUCUGAUUUUACUUCAAUAUUUCACGCUUUUGUUUCCAGUUUGUCUCGCUUCUGCGGUAUUUUUGACUUUUGGUAAGUCUCCCCUUCUUUCUUUAGUUGAUAUACUAGCUUAUCGGUAGUGAAUUUGAGUGGGUAUGUUUUAAUUUUUAAAUACAUGUUUGAGUGGGUUUCUCAUUUUCACAUGUUUGGAAAUACUUAUGUAUGUGCAUGUUUGGGUUACAUUAUUAUUUUUUAUUUUGGUUGAGUCAGAUGGUAUUCUACGAGUGUAUAGUUCUAUUGAAGAAGGUUUCUACUAGGUACUCUUGCUCUCUUUGGUCUGUUUGGUUCCAGUGAUUUCCAUGAGCUUGUAAAUUUAUGAUUUCAUUCUUCUCAGAGAUUACUGAUUUAGUUGUUUUCAUUUAGCUAUUGAAGUUCUCUAUGUGCUUCUGCUUUGCUCUCUUAUUACACCUUUUUUGGCUUUUAAUUUCGCUCUGUAUGAUUUUGAACAUUUGAUGGACACAGAUCUGAUUUUUUUUAUUUUCAUUCAUAUUUUCGUGCCUGAGCCGAGGAUAUGUUGGAAACAGCCUCUCUAUCCUCACAAGGUAGGGGUAAGGUCUGCGUACACACUAUCCUCCCCAAAUCUCACGGUGUGGGAUAAUACUGGGUAUGUUGUUGUUGUUGUUGUUGUCAUAUUUUCGUGUUGUACUCUUAGCAUGUAUGUGAUUAUUUGAUCACACGUGUCUAUGAUAUUUUUUUACAUGGAUACGCACAUUAUUACAGUAUAGGGAACACUAAGUGCCAUCAAGACAAAAAUAGUAAUGGGGAGGAGAAGAACUUUAAUGUAGCCAAAAUUAUUUGACAGUAUGCCUGAAUAUGUAAGUCUCAAUCCUUCAACUAUAAAUCCUGAAUUCUAAAACUGUGAAAUGUGGUGAUUUCCUUUUGUUUGUUUUAUGUUGGUAUGCCAAUUGUUGAUUUAUAACAAACUUUAGUUUAUUCUUUGUCUCUGUUAUACAAAUAUAGUUUUCCCUCUUUACUGUCGUUAUACAAAUGUAGUUUCCCCUCUUUACUGUCUUCAAUUGGAUAAUGCUGCGAGCUUUGCUGAGAUUUUUACUUGGAUUUGGAAUUUUCAAGUUGAAACUUAAGAUCUUUAUUUAACUUUUGCGGUCCAACUUUCAUAGGAAUGCUUUAUUGAUCUGACAAAGAUAGUGAUUCUCCUUUAAUUUUCUUCCUAUAUUCUUCCGAGGACUCAGGUUCAUGCUUUUUUUAGUCUCUCUUUUUUUCAGGUGGGUGUUAGAGUUCACAAAGCUCUAUUUUAAAAUAGGUUCCUGUCAAUUGGUUAAUGUUUGAAUCUACUGGGCUAUCUUGGAAUUUAUAGUAGUCAUAUCUAACAAUUUUAGGUCAGUUUAGAAGUUCAAUUGAAAUUGAGAAAAAUGGUGAUUAUCUGAGGCAAGAAAUUAAUCUUCCUGUUAUGGUAAAAAAUAUUUGCACUCUAUCACCUAUUUUAUCUAAUGCAACAGCUAAGUCCAGCCACCUCUUAUCGAUCUUGUUUUAAUGUUGCUCUGCUAUGUUCGCCUCAAUAAAGUAAGGAUUCAUGUCACAUAAUUCUAGGAAUGAUAAGUAGGCGAAUCCCUCAAAGAACUUCCAUGUGUUAUAAAAUUGCAAACUAUAAAUUUAUCUUCGGAUAUGUCAUUUGGUUGUCUGCCAUUUUAUUUUGAUUACACCAAAUAUGUAUUUCAAUGACUAAGGUAAGUUUUAAUUAAGACGGGCAUUUGAACAAAGCAAUUUCCUGCAGCAUUAAUUGUGUGGAACAAAAGCAAGGCUCUCUUAACUACUAAAGAAAUAAUGUCUUAUUUUUUGGAACUAUAAGUUAUCAAUUUAAGAUUUUCUUUCACUUUAGAUCUCAACAAUGCUAUUUUAGCGUCGAUUGAAGAGGAAAUGACUUAUUCUGCUCAAAUGAUCUAUUUUCUCCUAAGUAAUGAGAUUACCUAACGUUAACCUUUCAAUUUAGAUGCCUAAAAUUUAUAUCUUAGUCUCAUUUGAAGAGGAAGACUUAUUGUACUAGAAUAGAAGGACAUCAGUUUCUUCCCAAAAUUUUACAUAUUCCUAAUUGCUCAAAAUUAUGAUUUAUCCUAUCUUGAAAAGGACAUAAUUGGAAGAAAUGGUACCUUCUUUUCAGUGCAAAAUUUGAUUCUACGUGCAUACAUCUUGUUCUAGGCUUCACUGUGGUCAUUUUUGGUACCUAUAGUUUAUGGGAUAUCAAUACUACUGGGAUUCAUUAACCCAUCAUCAUCAUGUUUUGCUGAUAGUGUUAGCUUUCUCAUAGGACAUUUAAACAGAAGAAACUCACUUUUGUGUGGAGAAUGCAGCUGAGAAAGACUCAACUUUAGUCAUUUAUAUGGACAUGUCAACUCUUACUUUUCGUGCCUCAGAGUUGAUCCAUCAUGAGUUGCUGCAUAAUACAUCAGCUAUUGUCAUCCAAUGAAUUGACCAAACAUCAACAAAUACACAGCACGUAAAUAGAACAACUUCUCAUUCUCACAUUUGUUGAUUAGAUGUCUACACUGCUGCCUUUAUGUGCUACAUUUAGGACCACAAUAAUUUAUUUUAACAAUUGCAAAGAUGAGAAUGAUAUAUGCAAUUCUUCCGGCAAAUCUAUGUGCUGGCAUUUAUAGCUUUAUUAUUGCUGCAUUUAGGUGUAUCUUGUACCAUCUAGAUGCUUUAGGAAUUUUUGGCCUUAAUUUGUGGAAUAAAACUUAAGAUAUCUGAUAGUUUCUUUUCUGAAAAUUAUAAAUUAUUUCAUUACUCGGCACCUCUUCAAUUUUGUUGUUGGUGUCCGAGUCAGGCUUGUAUCUCUUCAUUUGGUAACUUUAUCUAAGCUAGCGUUUGGCCAUAAAUUCCCAAAUUUAUUCUGAAAAAUCUGAUUUGGGUGAAGUUUGGUUUGAAGAUGAAAAUGUGUUUGGACAUCUGUUUUGGGUGAAGUUUGGUUUGGAAAAACAUGAAACAUGACUUAUACCCACAAGUUCUAAAAACUAUCACAAAUACCCAACAGUACCAUUAUCAAUAACAUUCAUUAUAUUAUCGCAAACCAUAGUCCUGAACAUAAAUAAAUUUGAUACAAAAUUAUCAUUUUUAUAUGAACUACAUGAUACACUAUCAGAUGACCGAGAAGAUGAAGCAACAUCGUUACAAAAUAAUAAAUGGUGGGCUCUUUUAUAAAAUACAAAAGUUUAGGAUAAUUUUUAAAAAAUAUAAUAGUGAUAUUUUGGCCCAAAACCAGCUAUUUUGGGACUUGGGAUUUGGCCAAAAUAUAGGCGAAAUCUAUGGCCAAACAUGUGUUUGCCAGAUAAAACCCAAGUUUAUUUUGGCAAAAUCUAUGGUCAAACGGGUCCUAAGUAUCGUUGGUGCUCCUAAUUUGGAUUUCUCUGUUCCAGUAAUUAAUUAUGAUUUUAUUUCAUUUAUUCCUGAUGUGCUUAUCAAGGUUAUAUAUUGUUGGAAGCUUAUAUGUUCCUUGUUCUUUUGUAUUCUCAUGAGUAGCAUUGAAAUGCGAUAUAUAGAAACAGACGGCUCCGGUAGUAAAUUAUUACUCAAGAAGUAAACAUAAAGAGGAUCAUGCCAAAAAGAAUCUUGCUUUGGCAGUUCUAUUUAGAUGGAUAAAUUGCCUAGAUUGCAUCUUAUUUCAUAAGAAAUUAGAAUCUAUUGCAAUUGUAGGCAUCUAUCUACCCUCUCUGAAGAGGUAAAAAAUAGUAGUAGUUCCCCUUCAUUUGUUUAUUGUACUAAUAAAAAUAUAAAAGGAAAAUAAAAAAUUCAAUUUAUUAAUGUGCUAUGGAUAUUGGUGAUAUCUCAUAUUUCAAAUUUAGACAUGUAAAUGAGCAACAUAAUAGAUAGUCUGCAGCUUUUAUCGCAUUGCAGUAAGAUUAGUGGUUAAUUUUUCAACUAUGGCUUACUGAUCUAUAGUAGCUAUCAGCAUUGUUACUCGAAUUUAAUUUGGACUUGUAUAAUUUCUGUAUAAGCUACCUUGGUGAAUUCUAAUGUGAUUUUCUUUGUUAGGGCAGAACUGAAGAAUCAGAGAACCGAAGAGAUGAUGCUUUAAGGAAAUUGCAUGAAAGAGACUGGACAACAUCUAUUGCAAACAAUUGCACAUGUCUAUUUUGACUGAAACUUCUUUCGUUGACGAUGUUUUAUAAUGUAACUUCUUUUGAUUCUUGGGCACAAAUACGAGGGAGCCAAC
This 4491-nucleotide long non-coding RNA is filed under the name Nicotiana tabacum (common tobacco). RNAcentral's name for it is "long non-coding RNA (NTAB_LNC003545)". The record is from RNAcentral. Lineage: Eukaryota; Viridiplantae; Streptophyta; Magnoliopsida; Solanales; Solanaceae.